AUGAACUGGACUUUGAGAGUCAUCUUGUUGGUUGCAGCAACUACAGGUGGCCAAUCCCAGGUCCAGCUGGUACAAUCUGGAGCUGAACUGAAGAAGCCUGGGUCAUCAGUGAAGAUCUCCUGCAAGACUUCUGGAUACACCUUCACUAGCUACUAUAUGCAUUGGGUGCGUCAGAUCCCUGGGCAUGGGUUUGAGUGGAUCGGAAGGAUUUAUCCAAGCAGUGGUAAUACACACUACGCACAGAAGUUCCAGGGCAGAGUCACCAUCACCAGUGAAAAGUCCACAAACACAGCCUACAUGGAUCUAAGCAGUCUGAGCUCUGAGGACACGGCCAUGUAUUACUGUGCGAGAGACACAUUGCUUUUCAGCAGUUACAUUUUUAGCCUCAGUAGUGCCUGGGCCUUGGCGGCGGGCCGUUUGGGCCUCAAGCGAGUGGCUUGA
This is a non-coding RNA of Chrysochloris asiatica (Cape golden mole), 441 nucleotides long. NCBI's taxonomy places the organism in Eukaryota, Metazoa, Chordata, Mammalia, Afrosoricida, Chrysochloridae. The record is from the annotation of a RefSeq genome assembly.